GUUGGAAGCCGCUGAGCAGUCAGACACACCUGUGACCUCUGUCUUGCAUGCACCUGAACAGUCUUAUCAUAUAAGACUUUGAGAACAGUGAGUUCUUGUUACUGAAUAAAGUGAGCCUUGGCUCACUAGGAAGAUCCUCAUCAAUUAACAUGUCGAAGUAUAGUUCCCUCCUCCAUCUCACCAGUGGGGUUUAGUUUUCUGCCCAAAACCCUCAACAGUUGCUUCUUGUCUUUUGUUAUUUAAUCUGCAUAUGAUGAAAUGUACUCUGGUCUAUAAGCCUUGAUGGGCAGCGUCAGGCAGCCACCACGACAGGGUGUCAUACUCCCACCACCCCAAGAAGACCCUCUGCUACCCCUCUGAUCAAAACUCUCCGAUCCUUAACUGGUGGCAGCCACUGGUCUGCUCUCUGUCCCCCGAUUGCUCCUUUUCCAUAGGGCCAUGUCAGUGAAAUCACACAGUCCAUGUCCUUUGGAGUCUAGCUUCUUACACGUACCUUGGGCACUGGGGACUCGCCCUGCAGUGGGAAUCGGUAGCUCAUUACUUUUUAUUGCCGGGUAGUAUUCCAUCAUUUGCUCACAUGCUGGAGGAUGCCAGAAUGUUUCCAGCUUUGGGAAAUUAUUAAUAAA
This 626-nucleotide long non-coding RNA is filed under the name Marmota monax (woodchuck). Lineage: Eukaryota; Metazoa; Chordata; Mammalia; Rodentia; Sciuridae. The record is from RNAcentral.